CCCUUAGAUGUUCUGGGCCGCACGCGCGCUACACUGUUCGACGCAGCGAGUCUUAACCUUGACCGAAAGGUUUGGGUAAUCUUCAGCAAAGUCGAACGUGAUGGGGAUCGAUCAUUGCAAUUAUUGAUCGUGAACGAGGAAUUCCUAGUAAGUGCAAGUCAUCAGCUUGCGCUGAUUACGUCCCUGCCCUUUGUACACACCGCCCGUCGCUACUACCGAUUGAAUGGUUUAGUGAGAUCUCUGGAUUGACGCUGGCUAGGGGGCGGCCCUUGGCCAGACUGCUCGAGAAACUGCUCAAACUUGAUCAUUUAGAGGAAGUAAAAGUCGUAACA
RNAcentral lists this ribosomal RNA (332 nucleotides) under uncultured eukaryote. RNAcentral's name for it is "partial 18S ribosomal RNA". It matches the Rfam family "Eukaryotic small subunit ribosomal RNA", at positions 1470 to 1796 of the family's 1831-position model. The record is from RNAcentral.